AAAUUGAAGAGUUUGAUCAUGGCUCAGAUUGAACGCUGGCGGCAGGCCUAACACAUGCAAGUCGAGCGGUAGCACAGAGAGCUUGCUCUCGGGUGACGAGCGGCGGACGGGUGAGUAAUGUCUGGGAAACUGCCUGAUGGAGGGGGAUAACUACUGGAAACGGUAGCUAAUACCGCAUAACGUCGCAAGACCAAAGUGGGGGACCUUCGGGCCUCAUGCCAUCAGAUGUGCCCAGAUGGGAUUAGCUAGUAGGUGGGGUAAUGGCUCACCUAGGCGACGAUCCCUAGCUGGUCUGAGAGGAUGACCAGCCACACUGGAACUGAGACACGGUCCAGACUCCUACGGGAGGCAGCAGUGGGGAAUAUUGCACAAUGGGCGCAAGCCUGAUGCAGCCAUGCCGCGUGUGUGAAGAAGGCCUUCGGGUUGUAAAGCACUUUCAGCGGGGAGGAAGGCGUGAAGGUUAAUAACCUUGGCGAUUGACGUUACCCGCAGAAGAAGCACCGGCUAACUCCGUGCCAGCAGCCGCGGUAAUACGGAGGGUGCAAGCGUUAAUCGGAAUUACUGGGCGUAAAGCGCACGCAGGCGGUCUGUCAAGUCGGAUGUGAAAUCCCCGGGCUCAACCUGGGAACUGCAUUCGAAACUGGCAGGCUAGAGUCUUGUAGAGGGGGGUAGAAUUCCAGGUGUAGCGGUGAAAUGCGUAGAGAUCUGGAGGAAUACCGGUGGCGAAGGCGGCCCCCUGGACAAAGACUGACGCUCAGGUGCGAAAGCGUGGGGAGCAAACAGGAUUAGAUACCCUGGUAGUCCACGCCGUAAACGAUGUCGAUUUGGAGGUUGUGCCCUUGAGGCGUGGCUUCCGGAGCUAACGCGUUAAAUCGACCGCCUGGGGAGUACGGCCGCAAGGUUAAAACUCAAAUGAAUUGACGGGGGCCCGCACAAGCGGUGGAGCAUGUGGUUUAAUUCGAUGCAACGCGAAGAACCUUACCUGGUCUUGACAUCCACAGAACUUUCCAGAGAUGGAUUGGUGCCUUCGGGAACUGUGAGACAGGUGCUGCAUGGCUGUCGUCAGCUCGUGUUGUGAAAUGUUGGGUUAAGUCCCGCAACGAGCGCAACCCUUAUCCUUUGUUGCCAGCGGUUAGGCCGGGAACUCAAAGGAGACUGCCAGUGAUAAACUGGAGGAAGGUGGGGAUGACGUCAAGUCAUCAUGGCCCUUACGACCAGGGCUACACACGUGCUACAAUGGCAUAUACAAAGAGAAGCGACCUCGCGAGAGCAAGCGGACCUCAUAAAGUAUGUCGUAGUCCGGAUUGGAGUCUGCAACUCGACUCCAUGAAGUCGGAAUCGCUAGUAAUCGUAGAUCAGAAUGCUACGGUGAAUACGUUCCCGGGCCUUGUACACACCGCCCGUCACACCAUGGGAGUGGGUUGCAAAAGAAGUAGGUAGCUUAACCUUCGGGAGGGCGCUUACCACUUUGUGAUUCAUGACUGGGGUGAAGUCGUAACAAGGUAACCGUAGGGGAACCUGCGGUUGGAUCACCUCCUUA
This 1540-nucleotide ribosomal RNA is filed under the name Klebsiella pneumoniae. RNAcentral describes it as "bacterial SSU rRNA". It matches the Rfam family "Bacterial small subunit ribosomal RNA". Lineage: Bacteria; Pseudomonadati; Pseudomonadota; Gammaproteobacteria; Enterobacterales; Enterobacteriaceae. The record is from RNAcentral.